CGCGGGGUGGAGCAGCUCGGUAGCUCGCUGGGCUCAUAACCCAGAGGUCGCAGGUUCAAAUCCUGCCCCCGCUACCA
This 77-nucleotide transfer RNA is filed under the name Cellulosimicrobium cellulans. RNAcentral's name for it is "tRNA_Met_CAT". It matches the Rfam family "tRNA". Rfam says of the family: Transfer RNA (tRNA) molecules are approximately 80 nucleotides in length. Their secondary structure includes four short double-helical elements and three loops (D, anti-codon, and T loops). RNAcentral also lists the same sequence under 249 other names. Lineage: Bacteria; Bacillati; Actinomycetota; Actinomycetes; Micrococcales; Promicromonosporaceae. The record is from RNAcentral.